This 1325-nucleotide long non-coding RNA is filed under the name Betta splendens (Siamese fighting fish). RNAcentral's name for it is "lncRNA (ENSBSLG00000005379.1)". The record is from RNAcentral. Lineage: Eukaryota; Metazoa; Chordata; Actinopteri; Anabantiformes; Osphronemidae.
UGCAGCGGUCAUGUGUGAGUGUGGAGGGUUUCCUGUCUUGCUCUCUCUGUACGUACCUUAUGAUCUCUACAUGGCUGCUGCUGCUCCCCUCAAGGCCCAGCUCCUGCAUCUCACGCCGCCCGCGGGCUCGUCUGCCAGAGAGCGCUAGACUCCAUUGCCUUGCGCUACAGCGUCGCCAGAGCCAACAAUUCCAACUGCAGUAUAGGCACCAGGCGGCUCAACAAGCAUUCAACGCCUUCCCGACUGGAGAGGCCCUUAGAUUCGUCGACGCUGAGAUCCAUCAGCCGCCACGGACUGAUCACAGUCUCGACGUAUCAGACAACGCGUUUCUGGAGGUGUCACCGGACCCCGGAGAGAUAUUUCCUGCUGGCGAGUGUGUCGUCAAUAUGCCGCCACCCACCCCGGAGAACACCCAGGAACAACAACAGCGAGAACCGCGGAGCCCCGAAGAGGAGUGUCUAAUCGGCGAGCUGGAGCACAUGUUGUCCAGACAGCCGAGCGUGGAGCCUUCAACUUCCGAGAGCGGGGCCCCUGUGCUUCUAGCUGAGCAGUGCAUCCCGGAACAGGCGAGGCGAACCCCCGUGCGUUGUCCGGGGACUCCUCCUCCAAGGGGUCGUUCCGAUUCCGCUCGUCCAGGACUACGAGGGAGGAGGCGGUUCCGAGGAUCGAGGCUGCUCUUCAAUAGGGCCGUUGAGCACAGAUUUGAGAGCGUCGUCUGGAAUGUUAUUGAGAGGAGUCUGAUUAUGAAUGAUUUGCUCCGCACGCUGAUGUGAAAACUGUGCUGGAAUGUCACUCAUUUGAAUAUUAAACAACAAGAUGACCGAUGAAAACUCUGAUCUCAAUGAUUCACAAGCCGAAUUAGAAGAUGUGUUAACUUUGAUAUCCAAUGGCCAAAGAGGGUUUCGGUGUGUGAACAUAACCACCGAGCAUUUUGAUCAGUUGGAUGAAUUGGUCAAUGAUUUGGUGGCGAGAGUCGGAAGUGUGUCUCCGGUCUACUUCCCGAAUCGCGACUAUGACUUUCCUAGUGGGGGUGAUGAGUAUGUUUCUGAUUUUGAUCGAUUAGAACAGUCUGUAAACCGCUUCAUUGAAAGACUGCAAAAUCCCAGCCAGAGAAGUAAUGAACUCCCGUCAGAGGAGGGCGCACCCGAGUAAGGAGACAAUGACGAUGCUAUGGAAGGAGCUCCUCCGAGCAGAGACGGCAACCCGGAAGCACCCCCCGACACACGACGCCGCGCAGAGGGGAAGCAGGCUCUCCGAUGAAACCAGGAUUGUAGCCAGAAACAGUUUCAAUAACUUGAAACAAGGGAAGCAACCAUCGCCUCCGC